GGCCAGUUAGCUCAGUCAGUUGAGCGUGGUGCUAGCAAUGCUAAGGUUGCGGGUUCAAUUCCUGUUCAGUCCC
This 73-nucleotide transfer RNA is filed under the name Apaloderma vittatum (bar-tailed trogon). It matches the Rfam family "tRNA". Rfam says of the family: Transfer RNA (tRNA) molecules are approximately 80 nucleotides in length. Their secondary structure includes four short double-helical elements and three loops (D, anti-codon, and T loops). Further hydrogen bonds mediate the characteristic L-shaped molecular structure. tRNAs have two regions of fundamental functional importance: the anti-codon, which is responsible for specific mRNA codon recognition, and the 3' end, to which the tRNAs corresponding amino acid is attached (by aminoacyl-tRNA synthetases). tRNAs cope with the degeneracy of the genetic code in two manners: having more than one tRNA (with a specific anti-codon) for a particular amino acid; and 'wobble' base-pairing, i.e. permitting non-standard base-pairing at the 3rd anti-codon position. Lineage: Eukaryota; Metazoa; Chordata; Aves; Trogoniformes; Trogonidae. The record is from Rfam by way of RNAcentral.